Molecule: ribosomal RNA, 348 nt
Filed under: Amanita aff. lavendula 1 KWH-2017
Lineage: Eukaryota; Fungi; Basidiomycota; Agaricomycetes; Agaricales; Amanitaceae
Also listed under: 1 other name
Description: LSU rRNA
Rfam family: Bacterial large subunit ribosomal RNA
Source: RNAcentral
UAUCCUCAUAAGUUAGACGAUAAGAGGUACCAUCUAUUAUUUUUUUAAUAUAGAUGGUGGCACAGAAUCGGAGGCCCCGACUGUUUACUAAAAACACAACACAGUGCAAUCAUUAAUGUGAUAGUAUACUGUGUGAAAUUUGCCCAAUGCCAUUAAUAUAAGAGCGGUCAUAUAUAAAUGUGACUAAUUGAAAAUCUGGUUAAUAGCGGUCUUAACCAUGAGGAUCCUAAGGUAGCAAAAUAAAUUGGCCAUUAAAUGUGGUCCGGUAUCAAUAAUGUAACGAUGGCCUCACUGUCUCUACAACUUGCUCAGUGAAAUUGAAUUACGCGUGCAGAUGCGCGUUACCUC